This 343-nucleotide unclassified non-coding RNA is filed under the name soil metagenome. Its description in RNAcentral is "partial contains 5.8S ribosomal RNA, internal transcribed spacer 2, and large subunit ribosomal RNA". The stretch from base 1 to 120 matches the Rfam family "5.8S ribosomal RNA", at positions 35 to 154 of the family's 154-position model. The record is from RNAcentral.
GAUGAAGAACGUAGCGAAAUGCGAUAAGUAAUGUGAAUUGCAAAAUUCAGUGAAUCAUCGAAUCUUUGAACGCACAUUGCGCCCGCUAGUAUUCUGGCGGGCAUGCCUGUCCGAGCGUCAUUUCAACCCUCAAGCCCCCGGGCUUGGUGUUGGGGAUCGGCGAGCCUCCGCGCCCGCCGUCCCCUAAAUCUAGUGGCGGUCUCGCUGUAGCUUCCUCUGCGUAGUAGCACACCUCGCACUGGGAAACAGCGCGGCCACGCCGUUAAACCCCCAACUUCUGAACGUUUGACCUCGGAUCAGGUAGGAAUACCCGCUGAACUUAAGCAUAUCAAUAAGCGGAGGA